UUCGGGUUUUUUAAUGAAGUUGUAUUAUUAAUGAAAUGGUUUUAGUAAUUAUACUUUUUAAAUUGAAUAAUAGAAUAGUAAGACCCACAAAUAGUGAAGACCAUGCUCUUGGGGAAGAGCACGGUUGAGAGUGUUGUGCCUUAAUUAGUUAUAUUAUUAAAAUUCUGACAAUAAAUUCGAUUUUCAAAUGAUCAAAUUAUAAAUAAAUAAUAUUUAAAAAAAAUAAUAACAUAAAAUUAUGAAAUUAUCCUUAUAAAUAUUUAAAAUUGUUAGGCCGUACGCACCAUGCAGCAUGUAUAUAUAUAUACACAUGGUUGCUACUAAUAACUUAAAUCCCAACUGAGUUUUGAGAGUAAUUGCUUUAGGUUUUCUAUAAAUCCAAAAUGGGUUCAACAAGAAUUGAAGUUAAGGUUCUUUUUUUAUUGAUGGCUCUCCUCGUUUCGUCACAAGUUGGAGACGCUCGACAGCUCAAUCCAGUUCCAUCUAAAGAAGGUGAAAAGAUGAGACCUUUAGGCAAUUGUCUGAAUGGAUGCUGUGGUGCAUACGCCAAAGGAGGCAAAGGCAAAGGCGGAGGCGGAGGCGGAGGCGGAAGCGGAGGCGGAUAUUGCCACUGCUGCAAUUAUCCCAACACACACAAUCCAACCAACACCCAUACUUAAUGUUUUAUUUUAUCUAAAAUUAAGGUUUUGAAUAAGAAAAAAAUAAAGGGAAGUAAAGUCAGUUUAUCUUUGUUAUAGGUUGGCCAAAAUUCAAUCGAAAAUAGCUUAAGAGCAUCCACACUAGGGCUAUAUACUCCGCUAUGCCAGUAUUUUAUCCCCCGUCUCAUUCACCUGCAGUGGGGCGCACUAUAUCUUUUUAACUACUAGUACUAUUUUGUAGUUUAUUUUAUUUUUCAUG
Salvia splendens (bonfire salvia) is the source of this 897-nucleotide long non-coding RNA. RefSeq lists it as uncharacterized. The record is from RefSeq and is a predicted model, not a curated record. Lineage: Eukaryota; Viridiplantae; Streptophyta; Magnoliopsida; Lamiales; Lamiaceae. The transcript has 2 exons.